AGGCGAUGUGUUGCAGAGGGUCCCUGGUUCGAGUCCAGGUUGGGAGGCCAUGUGUUACAGAGGGUCCCUGGUUCGAGUCCAGGUUGGGAGGCCAUGUGUUACAGAGGGUCCCUGGUUCGAGUCCAGGUUGGGAGGCGAUGUGUUACAGAGGGUCCCUGGUUCGAGUCCAGGUUGGGAGGCCAUGUGUUACAGAGGGUCCCUGGUUCGAGUCCAGGUUGGGAGGCCAUGUGUUACAGAGGGUCCCUGGUUCGAGUCCAGGUUGGGAGGCCAUGUGUUAC
This is a long non-coding RNA of Oncorhynchus keta (chum salmon), 278 nucleotides long. RefSeq lists it as uncharacterized. Lineage: Eukaryota; Metazoa; Chordata; Actinopteri; Salmoniformes; Salmonidae. The transcript is spliced from 3 exons. The record is from RefSeq and is a predicted model, not a curated record.